AUUGAACGCUGGCGGAAUGCUUUACACAUGCAAGUCGAACGGCAGCACGGACUUCGGUCUGGUGGCGAGUGGCGAACGGGUGAGUAAUACAUCGGAACGUGCCCAGUCGUGGGGGACAACGUAGCGAAAGCUACGCUAAUACCGCAUACGAUCUACGGAUGAAAGCGGGGGAUCGCAAGACCUCGCGCGAUUGGAGCGGCCGAUGGCAGAUUAGGUAGUUGGUGGGGUAAAGGCUCACCAAGCCGACGAUCUGUAGCUGGUCUGAGAGGACGACCAGCCACACUGGGACUGAGACACGGCCCAGACUCCUACGGGAGGCAGCAGUGGGGAAUUUUGGACAAUGGGCGCAAGCCUGAUCCAGCCAUUCCGCGUGCAGGAUGAAGGCCCUCGGGUUGUAAACUGCUUUUGUACGGAACGAAAAGGCCCUGGUUAAUACCUGGGGCUCAUGACGGUACCGUAAGAAUAAGCACCGGCUAACUACGUGCCAGCCGCCGCGGUAA
This 500-nucleotide ribosomal RNA is filed under the name uncultured bacterium. Its description in RNAcentral is "partial 16S ribosomal RNA". It matches the Rfam family "Bacterial small subunit ribosomal RNA", at positions 30 to 523 of the family's 1533-position model. The record is from RNAcentral.